AUUGAACGCUGGCGGCAGGCCUAACACAUGCAAGUCGAGCGGAUGAGUGGAGCUUGCUCCAUGAUUCAGCGGCGGACGGGUGAGUAAUGCCUAGGAAUCUGCCUGGUAGUGGGGGACAACGUUUCGAAAGGAACGCUAAUACCGCAUACGUCCUACGGGAGAAAGUGGGGGAUCUUCGGACCUCACGCUAUCAGAUGAGCCUAGGUCGGAUUAGCUAGUUGGUGAGGUAAAGGCUCACCAAGGCGACGAUCCGUAACUGGUCUGAGAGGAUGAUCAGUCACACUGGAACUGAGACACGGUCCAGACUCCUACGGGAGGCAGCAGUGGGGAAUAUUGGACAAUGGGCGAAAGCCUGAUCCAGCCAUGCCGCGUGUGUGAAGAAGGUCUGAGGGUUAUAAACUGCUUUUGUACGGAACGAAAAGGCGCCUUCUAAUACAGGGCGCUCAUGACGGUACCGUAAGAAUAAGCACCGGCUAACUACGUGCC
RNAcentral lists this ribosomal RNA (486 nucleotides) under uncultured bacterium. Its description in RNAcentral is "bacterial SSU rRNA". It matches the Rfam family "Bacterial small subunit ribosomal RNA", at positions 30 to 509 of the family's 1533-position model. The record is from RNAcentral.